MicroRNA precursor from Acanthochromis polyacanthus (spiny chromis), 58 nucleotides. The record is from Ensembl. Lineage: Eukaryota; Metazoa; Chordata; Actinopteri; Pomacentridae.
UAGGUAGUUUCAUGUUGUUGGGGUCCAUUUCUAACUCUGCAACAUGAAACUGUCUUAA